RNAcentral lists this transfer RNA (75 nucleotides) under Clostridia bacterium. RNAcentral describes it as "tRNA-Gln". It matches the Rfam family "tRNA". Rfam says of the family: Transfer RNA (tRNA) molecules are approximately 80 nucleotides in length. Their secondary structure includes four short double-helical elements and three loops (D, anti-codon, and T loops). The record is from RNAcentral. Lineage: Bacteria; Bacillati; Bacillota; Clostridia. RNAcentral also lists the same sequence under 1 other name.
AGGGGUGUCGUCAAGCGGUAAGACACAACACUUUGACUGUUGCAUUCGUAGGUUCGAAUCCUGCCACCCCUGCCA